Astatotilapia calliptera (eastern happy) is the source of this 1075-nucleotide long non-coding RNA. The record is from Ensembl. NCBI's taxonomy places the organism in Eukaryota, Metazoa, Chordata, Actinopteri, Cichliformes, Cichlidae.
GCAACAAUUAUGUGGCACAAUGAAGUGAAAUGAAAUGGCAAUGAAGUCUGAUCACACCACUUCUUGUUUUUGUUGGCAUAUUGAUGUUUUGCAGCAUGAGCAAGGCUACUUACAAACACCUCCAGUUUCCAUGUGAACUGCAUGAGUAUGGUUGUCACUAAAAAAUCAGUUUUUUCAGCAGAUAACUUCGGUGUUUCCUGAUAUCUGGUGCCAUUUCCGAAAAAUGAUUUCAUCAUUUCAUCUCAAAAGAGCAGAGCAGCGGCGUAAAAGACGUCCUCGCCGUACCUGGGUCCAUCAGGUCCUCCAGAGGCAUGAGCAGUUUGGUGAGUUUCACCAUUUGCUCCAGGAGCUGCGCCUGGAUGACGGCCGAUUCCAGCGCUAUCACCGUCGGCCAGUUUGAGGACCUGCUUUCCCUCGUCGGUCCCAGCAUCACCCGCCUAGACACCAACUACAGGUGCUCAAUCCCACCUGCAGAGCGCCUGUCCGUCUGCCUGAGGUUCCUUGUCAGCGGGGACUCCUUCACGACCAAGCAUUCAGUUACAGAGUCGGUGUGUCCACGGUGAGCCAGAUCACCCUCCAGACAGCGACGUCCAUCUGGGACUGUCUAGUGGACAACUUCAUGGCUGUGCCUUCACCUGGAGACUGGCGGUCCAUCACAGAGGGAUUCCAGGAGCGCUGGAACUUUCCUCUGUGCUGUGCAGCUCUGGAUGGGAAGCACAUCCAGACAAAGGCACCCCAUAUAUCAUAUAGGAGACACACACAUUGAUAUACACUAAAUAUUUAUUUUAUUUCUUUUUUGUGGUGCCCAAAUUUAUGCACCUGCUUGAUUUUGUUUAAACAAUUAUUGCACACUUUCUGUAAAUCCAGUAAACUUCUUUUCACUUCUCAAAUAUCACUGUGUGUGUCUCCUGUAUGAUAUUUAACUGACAUUUUUUAUUGUAACAACCAAGGAUUUAUACAGGAAAAUAAUGUCUAUUAACAAGGUUGCCCAAACUUUUGCAUCCCACUGUAUUAGUAUAUUUUGUCAUUAGUAUAAUAUGAAAUAAAUUCUACAUGUGUCAAGUUGUGUGCCAAC